CCUACGGGAGGCAGCAGUGGGGAAUAUUGGACAAUGGGCGAAAGCCUGACCCAGCAAUGCCGCGUGAGUGAUGAAGGCCUUAGGGUUGUAAAGCUCUUUUACCCGGGAUGAUAAUGACAGUACCGGGAGAAUAAGCCCCGGCUAACUCCGUGCCAGCAGCCGCGGUAAUAA
RNAcentral lists this ribosomal RNA (171 nucleotides) under uncultured bacterium. RNAcentral's name for it is "partial 16S ribosomal RNA". It matches the Rfam family "Bacterial small subunit ribosomal RNA", at positions 338 to 526 of the family's 1533-position model. The record is from RNAcentral.